ACAGCCUCUUUACAAACUAACUUUGGGAACUCAGCCAACUUGUCCAUUGGAAACUGGAAUGAAAUGCUUUUCAUUUGUAUAGGGCUUUGUUCUUUCAAAAGCUCUCUUGGAUCCACUAUCUGGUCCAAUCCUCACAAUGACCCUGUUUCAGACCCAAGAAGCUUCCCUUUUGUUAUUGUGGCCAUAAAAGUUUCCCCUUUUUUUGGAGAGACCCGAUGACAUAAUGAGGUGAUGUCUUGACUCGUGUAUGAAUUGUACUUUAGAGGAGCAGAUUUGCACAAAGCCAUUAGCAUCAUUCCUCCAGAGUCAUCAAAUCCAACGACAAGGCAGAAGUCAGGAUAAUUGAUGAUGGCCCAAGAGACAGUGAACAACCUUGACAUCUUCGAUUUCUGACCAAACUCUAGCACUCCAGAGCACCUGCUUCAGCCACCUUCAUGGGCAUUAGAACAAACUGACCUCAUCUGCCCCUUCCACUGCUGGACAAAGUCUUCACAUGCCUGGGGUGAACACCCACUAACUCACUGCCAGGGUUGAGCCCUGUUAGUUACCCUAAACCUGGUUUGGCCUGUCUACCUACAUGGCUUACCAAAGUGUGUGAUUCAGCUUCUUGGAGUCACAGGUGAGAGUUGAGUGCCACAAAGGUGGACAAGCGGCCAUGAAAAGGGGGCAAAUCCUCAUAUCAGAGGUGCUAGUGCUCCUUGAACACCCAUACACCCCACUUACCAAGAGUAAAGCAAAAGACACUACGACAAUAAAUCUGCUAUUCCCUUAGCA
RNAcentral lists this long non-coding RNA (774 nucleotides) under Monodelphis domestica (gray short-tailed opossum). RNAcentral describes it as "lncRNA (ENSMODG00000035539.2)". The record is from RNAcentral. Lineage: Eukaryota; Metazoa; Chordata; Mammalia; Didelphimorphia; Didelphidae.